CAAUAGCAUAUAUUAACGUUGUUGCAGUUGAAAAGCUCGUAGUUGAACUUUUGGUAGGAGCGACCUGGCCUUGGGCGCAUGCCCUUGUUUGCCGUGUGUCGUGUCUGGCCAUCCUUUUCUUCUUUUUGGAAGGAAUCUUUUACUGUGAGUAAACUGGAGUGCUCAAAACAAGACGUUUGUUUGGUACAUUAAAGCAUGGAAUAAUAAGAUAGGACCUGGUUACUAUUUUGUUGGUUUGCAUAGCUAGGUAAUGAUUAACAGGGACAGUUGGGGGUAUUCGUAUUUAAUUGUCAGAGGUGAAAUUCUUGGAUUUAUGAAAGACGGACGACUGCGAAAGCAUUUACCAAGGAUGUUUUCAUUAA
RNAcentral lists this ribosomal RNA (362 nucleotides) under uncultured eukaryote. RNAcentral's name for it is "partial 18S ribosomal RNA". It matches the Rfam family "Eukaryotic small subunit ribosomal RNA", at positions 592 to 976 of the family's 1831-position model. The record is from RNAcentral.